Molecule: ribosomal RNA, 1174 nt
Filed under: uncultured Synechococcus sp.
Lineage: Bacteria; Bacillati; Cyanobacteriota; Cyanophyceae; Synechococcales; Synechococcaceae
Description: bacterial SSU rRNA
Rfam family: Bacterial small subunit ribosomal RNA
Source: RNAcentral
GCGUAACACGUGGUGACCUACCUCAAAGUGGGGAAUAACGGUCCGAAAGGAUCGCUAAUACCGCAUGUUCUCGAUGAUUCAUUUUGUCGAGCAAAACCGCAAGGUGCUUUGAGAGGGGCCCGCGUCCCAUCAGGUAGUUGGUGAGGUAAUGGCCCACCAAGCCAAUGACGGGUAGCUGGUCUGAGAGGACGACCAGCCACAAUGGAACUGAGAUACGGUCCAUACUCCUACGGGAGGCAGCAGUGAGGAAUAUUGCACAAUGGACGAAAGUCUGAUGCAGCGACGCCGCGUGGGUGAUGAAGGCCCUCGGGUCGUAAAACCCUUUUGGCAGGGACGAGUGAGGACGGUACCUGCAGAAUAAGUCUCGGCUAACUACGUGCCAGCAGCCGCGGUAAAACGUAGAGGCGAGCGUUAUCCGGAUUUACUGGGCGUAAAGCGCGCGUAGGCGGUCGGGUAAGUCAGAUGUGAAAGCCCUGGGCUUAACCCAGGAAGUGCAUUUGAUACUGCCUCGCUAGAGUACGGGAGAGGAAAGUGGAAUUCCUGGUGUAGAGGUGAAAUUCGUAGAUAUCAGGAGGAACACCGGUGGCGAAGGCGACUUUCUGGCCCGAUACUGACGCUCAGGCGCGAAAGCGUGGGGAGCAAACAGGAUUAGAUACCCUGGUAGUCCACGCCGUAAACGAUGUUCACUAGGUGUUGGGGUAUUGACCCUCUCGGUGCCGUAGCUACGCAUUAAGUGACCGCCUGGAAGUACGGUCGCAAGUGUGAAACUCAAAGGAAUUGACGGGGGCCCGCACAAGCGGUGGAGUAUGUGGUUUAAUUCGAUGCAACGCGAAGAACCUUACCAGGGGUUUGACAUCCUGCGAAUCUCUUGGAAACGAGAGAGUGCCUUCGGGAGCGCAGUGACAGGUGGUGCAUGGCUGUCGUCAGCUCGUGCCGUGAGAUGUUGGGUUAAGUCCCGCAACGAGCGCAACCCACGUCGUUAGUUGCCAGCAUUUAGUUGGGCACUCUAGCGAAACCGCCGGUGAUAAACCGGAGGAAGGUGUGGAUGACGUCAAGUCAUCAUGCCCCUUACAUCCUGGGCUACAACACGUACUACAAUGCUACGGACAAAGGGCAGCAAGCUCGCGAGAGUUAGCAAAUCCCAUAAACCGUGGCUCAGUUCAGAUCGUAGGCU